UUACCCCAUAUUAUUCUCUCCCAUGCUGGCCUUCUUUUGUUUCCUUAAACACAAUCCAGCUUGUUCCAGCUGAUUUUGCACCAGCUGUUUCCUCUACCGGAAAAGCUCCUACCCCUCUUCUUCUCAGAGGUGAUUUCUUCCCGUUGUUAAUUUUUCAGUUUCAUGUCAACUCUUCAGAAUGGCCUCAGUUCAUCUCCAUCACACUCUCUGUUUUAAUUAUCUGUACAGCUAUAUAUAGAGAGAGAGGAAGAGAGAGAGAGAGAGAUGUAGAUCAAAGAAUUGGCUCGUGUGGUUGCAGAGGCUAGAAAGCCCCAAAUCCAUAGGUCUGGCUGGAGGCUUCUCUGACUCACAUAGCUGUAGGGGCUGAUGAACUCAAGAUCCACACCAAGGAGGCUGACACAUCCCAAGAUCAGCAGGAAAGCUGCUAGCUCAAGUCCCAAGAACCAGAGGUCAGAUGAACAGGAGCCAGCUGCAGGAUUCAGAACAAGCAAAAGCCAGUGAGCCUUGCCAGAAAGCCCACCUACAUUGGAUGCAGGCCAGACACCCAAGGAAACUUCCUUUCAACUGAUUGGCUACUCACAGCAGAUACCAUCAUGGAGGUGAUCACACUAUAUUAGAAUUAUAUUAGAUCUCAUCAUGGAGGUGAUUACAUCAUUAUAUGACUGCUAAAGUACAUCGUAACUGCCAAACCACUGAGCAUCAUGACCCAGCCAAGUUGACACACAACCUUAAUGAUGACAUAAGAUGACCAUGGUUCACUGUUUUUACUUCUCAGAACCUCAUAUUCUUCAUCUGUAACAAUGGCAGGAAUCACACCUCUUUAGGCAUUUGUAAGGAUUAAAUGAGAUAACCUAUAAAAAGUUUUUUUCACUAGUAACAAGAGGAUGAUAACAAUCAGUAACUACCUCACAGAGUUGUUGUGAGGAAUAACGAGUUAAAGUUCUAAAAAGCAAAGACGAUACUUUGAUGACUAAGGUCCACAUGACCCAAGCUGUGGUAUUUUCAGUUGCUUCAUAUGCUGAACGAUAAAAAAGGAAGACAGAAGAAGAACUGAGGCAUUCAAAUUGUAGUGCUGGUGAAAAAUAAACUGUAGACGGCCAGAAGAACAAACAAAUCGGUCUUAGAAGAAAUAAAACCAGAUGCUCCUUAGGAGCAAGGAUGGUGAAACUUCAUCUUGCUUACUUCAGACAGGCCGUCAGGAAAGACCAAUCACUAGAAAAGGACACCACAUUUUGUAAAGUAGAGGGCCAGUGAAAACAGGGGAAACCCUCCAUGAGAUGAUUGGCACAAUAGCCACAACAAUGAGCUCAAGCAUAUCAAAGAUCAUGAAGAUGGCACAGGACUGGGCAACAUUUCCUUCUGCUACACAUAAGGCAGCCAGGAGUCAAAGCCAACUCAACAACAGCUAACAGCAACAUGACAGAGCCUGGCAUGUUUGGAACAAGACAGAGACGAGGUCACUCUCCAAACACAAACGUGACGAAACAUCGCCCUCUUCUGAUGAGUCUGGGUAACUGCUGCUCCUUCACCAAUGACAACCAACUCCAGCGCUCCCCUCAGAGCUGGACUACAUUUCCCAGCUUCCCGAGAAUGAGAUGUGGCCAACGUGAGUUCUGACCAAUGGAACUAGUGAUGUACAACCCCUCCAGGCCUGGCCCUCCUGUUAGGGACUGUUUGACUACUAGCCAAAAGGUUGGCAAUUCAAACCUACCCGGAAGACAGGCCCAGCGAUCUACUUCCAAAAGGUCACAGCCUUGAAGACCGUAUGGAGCAGUUCUACUCUGACACAUGGGAUCACCAUGAGUUGGAAUGGACUGGAUGGUAACUAACAACAACAACAAGGAAUGGUGAAGCCACAAUGGAAGAAUCUGGGUUUCCUAACCAUUGUGUGGGAGUCUUCCCACUGCACACAAGCAUAGAAGUGUUGGGAGAGCAAGAAAUACACACCUAUACUACAUUACACACCAAGAGUUUGGAGUUUUUUUUUUUUUUAGAAUAGUUAGCUAUACUAAUACAGUAUCUUUCAACUACAUGUUAUUUUUUUUUCUAUAACUAUCUUACGCCUUUUUUGUUAAGAGUUUUUCGCAGGUACAUUACGUGUUUUAUUGUUGUAUAUGGUAUUUUAUUUUAAAAAAUUACAUUUUGCUCACUGUUGCUAGUUUAUAGUGUUUGUAGAUGAUCUUAUGUUUAGCAAUCUUAAUCAAAAUCUCUUAUUUAUUCUUUUAGUUUGGCUGUAGAUUCUUUACGGUUUUCUCUGUUGACAAUCAUCUGAUUUAAGUUAGUAUGGUUUCUUCCUUUCCAACCCUUGCAUCUUUUAUUUCAUUUUCUUUCUUACUGUUCUAGCUAGGACCCCUAGUACAAUGAUGAGUUAUGGUAUGAAUUCACAUUCUAGCCUUGAGUGAAGCCGGGCUUGUGGUCGAAGCCUUCUCAGGGAGACCUUCUAUCCAGAGUCGAGGCCAAGGUUGGCAGGUGCUCUUGCUACCUCCCUUUGCGGGGUGGUUGCUUUCCUAGAUUACCCCUUGACUAAGGGUGUUGUCCUCAAGUCCCUAGCCUUAUUUGAGACUCUGUGCACUGACUCCCCACCUUGCAUGGGUCUUAGGCAUUAUCUCUGCAUCCCACUCCCUGAUUCCUGAAAACCAAAGUUCUUGAUCUCCAGGGAGUUGUUCAUGUCCGAGUGCAGCAAAUGGCUUCAGCUUUAGUUGACCUUCCUACUUUCAUGCUUCCUCCUUGGCUUCUGAGGGUUUCUCCUAAUUUCAUGUCAGCUUAGCCAUGCACUGAAAAACAUUUUUUUUAAAUAUGUUAAAAAUUAAAAAAAUAUUUUCUCAAGAUUUUAGGUGUUUUAUAGCAGUGGCGCAAUGGUUUAGGCCUCAGCUGCUAACCGAAAAGCUGGGGUUUGAACUCACCCAGCAGUUCUGCAGGAGAAAGACCUGGCGAUCUGCUUCCGUAAAGACUUCAGCCUAAGAAACCUCAUGCGGCAGUUCUCCUCUGUCACACGGGCUCCCCAAGAGCUGAAACAGACUCAACAGCACCUAACAACAACGCAGAGACAGGGUUUCAGGAUAGCCCAUCUACCACAUUGCUAUGUGUGGCAAGCUUGGGUUUUGUUUUCUUUCAUCCUUUUAAAAACUUUAAAUUUUUUUGGAAGAAUAGUAUAACCACGUAUUUCAGAAUUCCAUGAGUACAAAAAGGUAUACAGUGAAAGUAAGUCCUUCUCCCUCAUCCCUCAAUUACCUACAACCAAUAUAAAUUUUUUUGACUAUCCUUCCAAAGAUUUUCUAUGUGUACAGAAUAUACAUUUUUACACAAAUGACAGCAUAUAGAACCCUCUUUUCUUUUUCUUUUUUUUAACUCAACAUUAAAUCUCAGAGAUACUUUACUGUUAGUACACAAAAAUCUUUCUUAUUCUUUUGUACUCUUGUAUAGAUGGGACAAUAUUUCUUAAACCAAUAUCCUGUUAGAUAUUGAGAAUGUGUAUAAUCUUUUGCAAUUUCAAACAGGGCUGAAGCAAAUAACCUUGCUCAUACAAUUUUUUGCACACAUUUAUCUGUACAUUCAUAGGAUAAAUUCCUGUGUAGAAAUGUUUAGUCAGUGGGGAUGUACAUUUAUAAUUUGGUUGAUAUUGCUAAAUUGUCUUCUGUAGGCAACUACUCCUAAGAGCAAUUUCUAGAAGUGACUAUUUCUUCACACUAGAUAAAAAAUAAGACUUCUUUAUUUUUGUCAAACUGAUAAGUGAAAAAUGGUAUCUCAUAAUUUUAUUCGUAUUUUUAUUGCACGUGAGAUUAAGCAUUUUUCUGUAGGUAAAAAAGCCAUUCUUUCUCUUUCUGUGAACCUACUGUGCAUAUCCUUGCUUCUUUUCUUUUUUUUUUAAAUAUUGACUUCUAGAUGCUCAUUAUAUGGUGGAGAAGACAGGGUCGUUAUAUUCUCAGGAACUAACAAAACCCCUGGCAUAAAGCAGUUACCCCCAAAAAUGUGCCCUGAUUUAAUUUUAAAAGUAAUUUCUGCUGUAUUGAUUGUGAUCCAAUAUUAACAUGCAUCAUGUUUGUUUGCCCCCCCCCCCCCACCAACACACACACAAAGCAAAUGAUACUGUACCUUCUUGGAAAACCCAAAACAAACGAACAAAUUCCUGAGUAUUUUAUAGUAUGUAUGUUUCAUGUGCUAGGAUAGACUCAUCCCUUUGAGGCCGUGUAUCAUAUUUUUAUGCAAAUAACAUGUGCCUUUUAUGUUUGUUUGCCAAUCACUCCCUCCUCCUGCAAGAUAUUUUCGUAAGUGCUGCUAUGUCAAUUUUUUACAUGUUGCUGUAAAAAAUCAGCAUAAUGUGCUUACAAAAAUACCUCAUGGGGGGAGAGGAGCAGUUGGUAAAAAAAUGAAGAAGAUGCACGUUAUUUGUGUAAAAAUACAUUAACAGUAAAAAUUUCUGAGCCAUUGGGAAAAUGACUACAUCAAAGAAAGGACAGGUGCCACAGCCUGGUUCCCUAGAAAACAAAGUCUGAGCUAACACAUUAUUGGAUGUGUGUGUAUAUGUGUGUGUGUGUGUGUGUGUGUGUGUGUAUGCAAGCCCAGGGCAGCAGGAGUAAGGGAAAACGGCUAGACAGAGGAAAAGCAAAUGCAAAUUGGUGCAUCCCUGAGCAGGCCACUGUCAUGAGGAUGUCUUUGGCCAACCCAAACGGAACCAUCGUACCUCAGAACCGUCAGGGAGGAAGCAAGAAUUUAUCUGUCUCCUGCCUCCUGUCUCUCACUGGUCAGUUUCAAGUCCCCUGCACUUCCAGGUUGUGCCACUUGGCUCUCAGGACUGACAAUGGGGAACAAGAUACCAGGCCCUGCAGCGGAGUGUGCUAGCUGAGUCUGGAGGUGGUGGAGGUGCAGGGCCUCGGAGGGUUCUGGCAUCAUGAAUGUGAACAAGGCCACGCUGGAGCACAGCCUGUAUGCUAGGGGAGGCUGAGAUGAGGUAGCAGGGCAGUGGCUGGGGUUCUUCACUGAGUAAGCAGCUGGGGCCCAGGGGGCAUGUGGGAGGCACAUAAAUUGCACAGAUUUCAUAGAUGUAUGUGUGGCCACAGGUGUGCUGUUCUCGUUGUUAGCAGCCAUCAAGUUGGCCACUCCAUGAACAAUGGGAUCAGACUGUUGCGAUCAUAGGGUUUUCUUCCUAGUCUAUAUUGGUCUGGAAGCUACACUGAUAUCUGCUUAGCAUCACAGCAACACCCAAGCCUUCACUGACUGACAAGGGGUAGCUGCUCACGAGGGGCGCUGGCCAGGAAUUGAACCUAGGUCUCCCACAUGGAAGGCAAGAAUUUCACCACUGACCCACCACUGCCCUUUAAGUUGUGCUCCCCAUUGCCAUUGAGUUGAUUACAACUCAUAGAGACCCUAUAGGACACAGUAGAACUGCCCAUAGGGUUUUCAAGGCUGUGAUCUUUACAGAAGCAGUUGCCAUAUCUUUCUCCCAUGGAGUCACUGUUGGGUUCGAACUGCUGACCUUUUGGUUACCCACCGCACCAUGAGCGCUUCUUAAGUUGUGCUAGUGUGUGGCUUUUCAAGCAUCACUCCAAAGCGACCCACUGUCAUCCCUGGGAGAAGCUCCAGAUUCUACAGCAGGAGUUAGCAAAUUUUUCCUGUAAGGGGCCAGACGGUAAGUAUUUUCGGCUUGUGGGUCAUAUGGUCUCUGUUGAAACUCUUCAUGCUCUGUCAUCAUAGUGUGAAAGCAGCAGCUACAUACACUAUGUAAAUGAAUAAGUACGGAUCUCUUCCAAGAAAACUUCAUUUACAGACACUGAAAUUUAAAUUUUGUAUUAUUUUCAUGUCCUGAAGUUUUAUUUUUGAGUAAAAACCACUGUUAGCUUGUGGGCUGUACAAAAAUAGGUGGUGGGCCACAUUUGGCUCGUGGGCUGUAGUUUUCCAGCCCCUGUUCUAUAGGAUGUAUCAGCAUCCAACCCUUCCUAAUUCAGAAAUGGCCAAAAGUUCUGUUCUUGUCUCUUCAGUUUAUUUUUUGGUUCCUCGGAGAUAUCCACAUGGCUUGGUAUCUGUCUUCCCCCAUCUCUGCUUGCUCCUUUAAUCUCUUUUAUACCUCAAAACAGAUUGACUCAAGGCACAUUUUACACUAAUCUGGCUUCAUUAACAUAACAAAGACAAGCCAUUCCCAAACAGGAUUAUAACCACAGGCAUAGAGGCUGGGAUUUACAACACAUUUUUUUAGGGGACACAAUUCAAUCCACAACCAGUGGAUAAUCUUUGUUUCAUAGCGAGCAAAAAGAAAAAUGUGCUAUUUUACUGAAAAGUAGAAAUGAAGUUUGAGGAGUGCUCCACAGACAUCAACACGGAGAAAUACUUUCCAGCUUUUCCCUAAACCCUAUUGCCUUCCAUCCUGAGGACAAACGAGGUGAUUUUGCUGGGCCCUUCCUUGUCAUGAUUUGGAAUGUGAAUAACCUGCCUUGAGUCACGAGAGCAUCUUUGCCCCUCUGGUCCUCUCCCUGUUAUUCUUGGAGGUGAGCGUAAAUUACCAGGUGCUUUUUUUGGCUCCUCGACAAAUAGCAUUGUUUUCUAUAAAAAGCUCUUUGCAGACCAACAAUAGAGGAAUGGCUGGGCAAGUGACUGCCAUAUACCAACUGCAUGAAAUAUUGUGCGGCCCUUUAAAAAGACCGAAUGAGAAGUGCAUGGAGUAAUGUGGAAAGUAUUCCUCAGCUGGCCUGAGGAGGAAAAAAUGGAACGCUGACAGAUGGACACAGUGACUUCAGCUAUGCUAAAUACGUGCACGGGUGGCUGGAGCCGCGAAGGGAACUUCAGAGAAGUGGCAGUGUGGGGAUGGUGGGAUUUGAUGGCAUAGAAAGGAGAAGCAUUCCAGUGCCAGAGUGCUCUGGGUUCAAAUCCUGACUCUCUUGCUCCAUAACUUUGUUGUUUUGGGCACAUAAGUCACCUACUCUGUGCCUCAGUUUCCCGUUCAUAACAUGUAAUUUGUAGAUUAAAUGUGAGAUUAAGCAUGAGGCAUUUAAUAAACUCAAUACAUAACAGGAAUUAUUAUGGGAGAAGAUUUUGUGAAAUGUUUCACAAGGUGGUUACAAUAAUUUUAGUCUUAAAAAUAUUCCUGGUUAAUAAUGGUACGUGUUCAUUGUAGAAAUUUGAGAAAUACAUAAAAAUAAAAAAAUAUAUGAAAUAAAACUCACUUGUAAUCCAACCAGCCAGAGACGGCCACAGUUAACAUCUUAGAGUGUAGCCCUCCAGGUGUUUCAAAUCCUGGAUCUCCUGCCAUUCCUUAGGAAGUUACUUCAUCUUCCUGAGACUCAGUUUCCUACUCUGUAAAAUGGGCCCAAUAACAUCUGCUCACAAAGUUGUGUGAACAUAAAUAAAUGUUUGUAAAAUGCUCCGCCUGGCAGAUAACAAAUGCUCAA
Long non-coding RNA from Loxodonta africana (African savanna elephant), 7379 nucleotides. RefSeq lists it as uncharacterized. The record is from RefSeq and is a predicted model, not a curated record. The transcript has 3 exons. NCBI's taxonomy places the organism in Eukaryota, Metazoa, Chordata, Mammalia, Proboscidea, Elephantidae.